This 670-nucleotide ribosomal RNA is filed under the name Escherichia coli. RNAcentral describes it as "partial 23S ribosomal RNA". It matches the Rfam family "Bacterial large subunit ribosomal RNA", at positions 2261 to 2925 of the family's 2925-position model. Lineage: Bacteria; Pseudomonadati; Pseudomonadota; Gammaproteobacteria; Enterobacterales; Enterobacteriaceae. The record is from RNAcentral.
GUGGGUAGUUUGACUGGGGCGGUCUCCUCCUAAAGAGUAACGGAGGAGCACGAAGGUUGGCUAAUCCUGGUCGGACAUCAGGAGGUUAGUGCAAUGGCAUAAGCCAGCUUGACUGCGAGCGUGACGGCGCGAGCAGGUGCGAAAGCAGGUCAUAGUGAUCCGGUGGUUCUGAAUGGAAGGGCCAUCGCUCAACGGAUAAAAGGUACUCCGGGGAUAACAGGCUGAUACCGCCCAAGAGUUCAUAUCGACGGCGGUGUUUGGCACCUCGAUGUCGGCUCAUCACAUCCUGGGGCUGAAGUAGGUCCCAAGGGUAUGGCUGUUCGCCAUUUAAAGUGGUACGCGAGCUGGGUUUAGAACGUCGUGAGACAGUUCGGUCCCUAUCUGCCGUGGGCGCUGGAGAACUGAGGGGGGCUGCUCCUAGUACGAGAGGACCGGAGUGGACGCAUCACUGGUGUUCGGGUUGUCAUGCCAAUGGCACUGCCCGGUAGCUAAAUGCGGAAGAGAUAAGUGCUGAAAGCAUCUAAGCACGAAACUUGCCCCGAGAUGAGUUCUCCCUGACUCUUUAAGGGUCCUGAAGGAACGUUGAAGACGACGACGUUAAUAGGCCGGGUGUGUAAGCGCAGCGAUGCGUUGAGCUAACCGGUACUAAUGAACCGUGAGGCUUAACCUU